This 253-nucleotide ribosomal RNA is filed under the name uncultured bacterium. RNAcentral describes it as "partial 16S ribosomal RNA". It matches the Rfam family "Bacterial small subunit ribosomal RNA", at positions 524 to 776 of the family's 1533-position model. The record is from RNAcentral.
GACGUAGGGGGCGAGCGUUGUCCGGAUUCAUUGGGCGUAAAGCGCGCGUAGGCGGCCCGGUAAGUCGGAUGUGAAAUCCUGGAGCUCAACUCCAGAACUGCCUUUGAUACAGCACGUCUUGAGUCCGGAAGAGGUGGGUGGAAUUCCUAGUGUAGAGGUGAAAUUCGUAGAUAUUAGGAAGAACACCGGUGGCGAAGGCGGCCCACUGGUCCGGUACUGACGCUGAGGUGCGAAAGCGUGGGGAGCAAACAGG